Molecule: long non-coding RNA, 794 nt
Filed under: Rattus norvegicus (Norway rat)
Lineage: Eukaryota; Metazoa; Chordata; Mammalia; Rodentia; Muridae
Description: long non-coding RNA NONRATT001722
Source: RNAcentral
GAGCAACAGGUCUGGGAAAGCCUGACAGGUUGACAGGAGUGCGAGAGCACAGUUUGGGAGCCGCCAGGGGACGCCCUGCCUCGCGGCAUCUUGUCCGUUGCGUCUAGAUAACAGGCUUCGAAAACCCUAAUUUGAAAAGCCUUUCGGACAGCCCUUAACUCCACGUCCAUUGCGAGCGCUCACAGACGUCGGCCAUGACAGUUACAUCCGGGUAUGAUGAUGAGCCAAGUCCUGAGUCUCCCGGAAGUGACGCGACGCGGAAGGAUACGCGCUCGACCCAGGGAUGCUGAGGUGAAGUGGUCUCCGGAAGUGGGUGCAAUCUGACUCUGCUGGUCGGACUGGGCAGUAGGAGGAGCGUGGCCCAUGACACAAGCCCAGUCACUGUGCUUAAAGCCAACCCUGCUGUACCGUGUUCAACAAUCGGAGAGACAGAGGCUGUUGUGUUUAUUUCAUAUAUAUAUGGAGGAACUAAGAUUGAGAGAGGGCAAGCAAUUUAAGCCCAUACGAAUAGAAUUUGACCUAAGUCAGUAUUUCGUGAUGACUCCCUUUCUGGAAAAUUUAAAUUCCUAUACCUUGUCACCAUAGAUUGUUGCCUUUGCAAGCCUUUCUUCAGCAUAGUAGCCCAAGAAGUGGUACUUCAGCUCGCCCAUGAUUUUAAUUAAAUAUCUUUUUUUUUUAUUCUGACUUCAUUGGGGUUAUAGUACCUUCCCGUGUUAGGGAACAAACCUUGGGAAACUGUAGUUUUAAACAAUUUAUUUCAGACUCGGCACAAUAAAACUUUUGUCUUCUAUCAG